This is a long non-coding RNA of Zophobas morio, 2075 nucleotides long. RefSeq lists it as uncharacterized. The record is from RefSeq and is a predicted model, not a curated record. NCBI's taxonomy places the organism in Eukaryota, Metazoa, Arthropoda, Insecta, Coleoptera, Tenebrionidae. The transcript is spliced from 3 exons.
AAACCAGAGAUAACAGAGAUAUGACAGCUUUUGAAUGCUCCAUAAGAAAUGCAUGGGAGCGAAGUGAACACAGAAUUUGACGUAAAGGACGGUUGGGGGCACAACAUUUGUGGUGGUAAACCUGAUAUCUUAAUAUCUAUGUUAAAUGUUACUAAAUAUAUUACUAGUAAAAGUGACAUAACGAACGAAAAACACGAACUCUGAGAUAACCUCAAUUAAAUAUGAUGCGAUGGUUUCAAAUUAUAAAAGAAAAGUCAUGUUAACUGCAUAUGUAUGUAUGUAUUUAUUACAGUUACAUACAUUUGGUAAAAUUUUACAAAGAGCACUUCUCGAUUUCGUACAAACUGUUUGCACAGAACUCUUCUACAGGACCCCCUGAUCACGUUCCUCACCUUCAAAUGUUGUGGAAAUGCUUACUUUUGCCACAAAAAAAUUGUUAAAUUUCCCAUUUGCACACUCUUCAAUGGCAAGUCGUUUCGAACAUAACCUAACUUUUUAUAGUCAACAACACGGGUAGGUGUAAUAUCGGGUUUGUAGUGGAGGCAGGGCGCUUCGCGCCCUGCACCCCAUUACAAACAUACCCCUAAACGUGGCACUUCUUGCUCCGUGGAUCAUUUAGUUUUUGGAAUUCGUGCGAGUUCAACUGUGUGUGUAGUUGGUUGCCUACAUGCGGCGCAACUAAUAGUGUGCAAACCAUAGGGCGAACACUAAAUUUUUUUUUCUGACACUAGGAAGCAUUUCCACAACUUUUGAAGGUAAGGAACGUAAUCAGGGGGUCCUGUAGAAGACUUCUGUGCAAACAGUUUGUGCGAAAUCGAGAAGUGCUCUUUGUAAAAUUUGACCAUACAUUUUAACAAACAAUAUACUAUUGGUUGCUUCUGUAGUUCCCUAUUAUGGAAUUUCAAUGUAUAAAAUAUACGUAAUCGCACAAAUAAUGACAAAAGGUAAUCAAGGGGGAGAUUACUACAUGGAUGCUAUUAAGGCCAGCUGGUUUUUAAGUUGUCUGGGAACUUGAAGCGAAAGUGUAUUAUCUACUGAAGGCAUUUUCUAAUUGUUCAAUGUAAUAUGCAAACUGUUCAUACGAAACAUUAAGAUUGCCAUAAGAUAAAGUUUCAGAAUUGUGGGCUUGGAAACGACAAUAAUGUAGUUCUAGAAUUUCUGCCACAUGCAUUUGUAUAUUCACAGCAUAUCUGAGAAGAGUGUUUUAAGCAUGCAUCCACUGAGUAUCCACAUAUUUAUCGGCAUUAUGAGAUGGUUGGGAAUUAUUAAUUAUGGUGGUGAUGUUGUACCUCUCACUUAAAUUGGAGAUAUCUUCAUUAGCAGAUAAGAAUUGUGGUGUGAUCAGAUGAUUAAAAGAGGACUUGCGUUUGUGGUGUAUUUAUUUUUAAUGUUGUCGGUUCAGUAGAUAAGGGAAAAGUGAAGAGUGUUGUCUGUGAUUUUGAAAAUGAAAAGACAGGUCGGUAGAGAGCGGUGAAACGGUUGUGUCGAAAGGGUUCUUAGAAGGUACUCGAAAUCUUCGAAGGAUAAGAAUUAUUGGGAAGGGCGAACAAAAGAUAGGUUUUACGACAUGCAGGUGUACGAAGAGAAAGUUUCAGGAUGAUAGUGGUUGGAAGUCAAUAAAUACAGACUAUACAAAUAUUACAUGUUGCACAAUUUUGUGGGAUUUGUUAGCCCCCACAAAAUGUUGCUAAAUCAAAAGCACAAUUACCAGUUGGAUUGUGCUGCAUAUAUUUUAUACAGAACAAUAGCUUGUAUUUGGUUAUAUUCUAAUAAAGUGUGAUGUAAAUAACUAUUAAUAAUAUGAGGAUAAAAAUAAUUUUAUUAACACCCGCACAGAACUAAAAGUGACUAAAGUCAUCUUCGCAAUGAAAAGGUAACAUUCAAUAUUAUAACUGUAUUUGUACCCCUUAAAGUGUCGUCCUUGAAUUUCAACGUUAGGUUGUAAUAACAAUCUUUGAAUGAGCUAGAGGGUACUUUUAUUAUUAUCCUCGCUAUAAAAUUGUACAGUUUGUGUUGUGUAUGCACAUUUUAGAGUUUUAAAGGAUAAGAAAAGUUAAUACAAGCAUUUUGAGUAA